This 403-nucleotide ribosomal RNA is filed under the name bacterium. RNAcentral describes it as "partial 16S ribosomal RNA". It matches the Rfam family "Bacterial small subunit ribosomal RNA", at positions 355 to 776 of the family's 1533-position model. The record is from RNAcentral.
UGGGGAAUAUUGCACAAUGGGGGAAACCCUGAUGCAGCGACGCCGCGUGAACGAAGAAGGUAUUCGUAUCGUAAAGUUCUGUCCUAUGGGAAGAUAAUGACAGUACCAUAGAAGAAAGCUCCGGCUAAAUACGUGCCAGCAGCCGCGGUAAUACGUAUGGAGCGAGCGUUGUCCGGAAUUAUUGGGCGUAAAGGGUACGCAGGCGGUUUAAUAAGUCGAAUGUUAAAGAUCGGGGCUCAACCCCGCAAAGCAUUGGAAACUGAUAAACUUGAGUAGUGGAGAGGAAAGUGGAAUUCCUAGUGUAGUGGUGAAAUACGUAGAUAUUAGGAGGAAUACCAGUAGCGAAGGCGACUUUCUGGACACAAACUGACGCUGAGGUACGGAAGCGUGGGGAGCAAACAGG